UUGAGUAUAAAAGGAGGUAAAAAUGCAAUGAUGGUUUUGAGGGUUUUAUGAACUGUGAUCUAUAAAUACUACACUGUAUCACUAUUCUAACUGUUCAAGAAAAGCAUUUGUGGAGUUCCCAUCGUGGCUCAGUGGUUAAUGAAUCCGACUAGGAACCAUGAGGCUGAGGGUUCGAUCCCUGGCCUUGCUCAGUGGGUUAAGGAUCCGGCGUUGCCGUGAGCCGUGGUGUAGGUUCCAGACUCGGCUCAGAUCCCACAUUGCUGUGGCUGGGUCUAAUCGGAGCUGUAGCUGAUGGCCUACACCAGAGCCACAGCAACUCUGGAUCCGAGCCUCGUCUUCAACCUACACCACAGCUCACAGCAACACCAGAUCCUUAAGUCACUGAGCGAGGCCAGGGAUAGAACCCCAAACCUCAUGGUUCCUAGUCAGAUUUGUUAACCACUGAGCCACGACAGGAACUCCCUCAGUCAGGUUCUUGAUUCACUGAGCCAUAAUGGGAACUCCUUAGGUUGUUUUCGUUUUUUUGUUUUUUUGGUUUUUUUGGCUUUCAUAUGAAUAAAACUAUGAACAUUUUUGUAUAAGCUCUUGUGUGGACAUAUAUUUUUAUUUCUCUUGGGUAGAUACCUAGGUUUGGAAUUGCUAGGUCAUAAAGUAACUAUUUUUAGCAUUUAGAGAGACUGCCAAACUGUUUUCCAAAGUAGCUACAGCAUGCUGCUUACUUUCCCAUAAGCAGUGUAUGAGGCUUUCAGUUUCUCUCAUCCUCACGAAAAUUUGUGAUUUUUUGGACUAUAGUUAAUCUAUUGAAUGAGAAGUGAUAUCUCAUUGUGAUUUUCAUUUCCCAGAUGACUUUCCAUGUGCUUAUUAGCUAUUCGUAUAGCAUUUCCUUUGGGAAAAUGUCUGUUGUAACUAUCCAAUUUAAAAUUGGGUUGUCUUUUUAUUAUUGAAUUGUCAGAGUUCUUAGUAGUCUAGACACAAGUCUCAAAUCAGGCUUAUGAUUUGCAAAUAUUUUCUCCCAUUCUAUAGACUGUCUUCUCACUUUCUUCAUAGAGUCCUCUAAAACACAGAAGUUUUUAAUUUUGAUCAAGUUCAAUAUAUCAAUCUUCUCUUUUAUCAUUUGUGCUUUUGGUGUUAUAGCUAAGAAAUCAUUGCCUGACUGAAGGUCACAAGACUUCCUCCCAUGUGUUCUUCUACAAGUCUAGGAGUUUUAGCUCCUAUAUCUAGUCUAUGACCCAUUUUGAGUUAAUUUUUGUAUAUGUUAUUUGUUAGAGGUCCAAAUUAAUUAUUUUAUGUAUGUAUAUUCAGUUGUUACAGCACUAUUUGCUAAAAGGAAUGUUCUUUC
RNAcentral lists this long non-coding RNA (1339 nucleotides) under Sus scrofa (pig). RNAcentral describes it as "lncRNA (ENSSSCG00015067116.1)". The record is from RNAcentral. Lineage: Eukaryota; Metazoa; Chordata; Mammalia; Artiodactyla; Suidae.